RNAcentral lists this ribosomal RNA (451 nucleotides) under uncultured bacterium. RNAcentral's name for it is "partial 16S ribosomal RNA". It matches the Rfam family "Bacterial small subunit ribosomal RNA", at positions 29 to 523 of the family's 1533-position model. The record is from RNAcentral.
AACGAACGCUGGCGGCAGGCCUCAAACAUGCAAGUCGAGGGGGCGUAGCAAUACGUCACCGGAGGACGGGUUCGUAACACGUGGGAAUGUACCUAGUGGUUCGGAACAACGCUUGGAAACGAGUGCUAAUACCGGAUGUGCCCGAAAGGGGAAAGAUUUAUCGGCACUAGAGCAGCCCGCGCAGGCUUAGCUAGUUGGUAGGGUAAGGGCCUACCAAGGCUCCGAUCCUUAGCUGUUCCGAGAGGAAGAUCAGCCACACGGGGACUGGGACACGGCCCAGACUCCUACGGGAGGCAGCAGUUGGAAAUCUUGGACAAUGGGCGAAAGCCUGAUCCAGCCAUGCCGAGUGAGUGAUGAAGGCCUUAGGGUUGUAAAGCUCUUUUACCCGGGAAGAUAAUGACGGUACCGGGAGAAUAAGCUCCGGCUAACUUCGUGCCAGCAGCCGCCGUAA